CCCUAGAGCACUCCUUUUCCACAGCCCAGUAUGCCUCUGGGAAGGAAAAACAUAAGGAAGGAGCAGAAAUGAACAAAGAGAAAUAAUGGGAAAAUGAAGGCAGUUGGAGACCCCUGGGAUAAAAGAGAAAAGGAAUGGUAGCUGGAGGAGGCUGUAAGGUGUCAAGGCAACGGGUAUCAACACAGAAGAGAGGGUUCAGCCCGCAUGAGGGAGAGCACAAUGAAUGGAGAGCGGAGGGCUGUGGGAAAUGCCUGGAGUUUCUGGGGAAAUUGCCUAAAAUACAGGGAGGUCAAUAGAUAUCAAGAAAAGAUGAAUAAAUAGGAAAACAUCAGGCAGCA
Mustela erminea (ermine) is the source of this 338-nucleotide long non-coding RNA. RefSeq lists it as uncharacterized. NCBI's taxonomy places the organism in Eukaryota, Metazoa, Chordata, Mammalia, Carnivora, Mustelidae. The record is from RefSeq and is a predicted model, not a curated record. The transcript has 3 exons.